This 348-nucleotide unclassified non-coding RNA is filed under the name soil metagenome. RNAcentral's name for it is "partial contains 5.8S ribosomal RNA, internal transcribed spacer 2, and large subunit ribosomal RNA". The stretch from base 1 to 120 matches the Rfam family "5.8S ribosomal RNA", at positions 35 to 154 of the family's 154-position model. The record is from RNAcentral.
GAUGAAGAACGUAGCGAAAUGCGAUAAGUAAUGUGAAUUGCAGAAUUCAGUGAAUCAUCGAAUCUUUGAACGCACAUUGCGCCCCCUGGUAUUCCGGGGGGCAUGCCUGUCCGAGCGUCAUUGCUGCCCUCAAGCACGGCUUGUGUGUUGGGCCCCGCCCCCCGGCUCCCGGGGGGCGGGCCCGAAAGGCAGCGGCGGCACCGCGUCCGGUCCUCGAGCGUAUGGGGCUUCGUCACCCGCUCCGUAGGCCCGGCCGGCGCCCGCCGGCGACCCCCCUCAAUCUUUUCAGGUUGACCUCGGAUCAGGUAGGGAUACCCGCUGAACUUAAGCAUAUCAAUAAGCGGAGGA